AGGCGAACAGUGCAUAAAUGAAGUACUUAAAAAGUGUAUAGGCCUGGUGUGGAUUUAGGCUCGGGGCUAUCCACCAUAGGAAGUAAUCGUUCACGCCCUUCCGAUGAUAUUCACAUUGGGCUUUGAAAGAGAUGGAAAAAUUUCAUAUAUCUUAGCUCUUAAAAACCUUCAAAUUUCGGAGCAUUUUUCCACUUUUUUGUUUAUGACUCGGUCCAAAGCAACAUCACUUCUACUGCAUUUUUGUCACUGACCGAAGCAAAAGAAAUCAAGAGGAAAGAAAGAAGAAAGAAGAAAGAAGAGAGAAAGCUGCAGCUACAAAGAGAAAGAGAGGAGAAUUUUCAGUAUUGUACAACAUUCUAUGCAAUCAGAGGUAUAUUUAGCUCAUACAAAUAUAGUAACGGAAACAUUGAUUGCAGAAAUAUCAAUUCUGGUGCACAAGUUUUGUCUGAGGAAAGGCAAUCUUCUUAUUGCAGGACUAUCUGGCAGAAAUGUUUGCAUGCCUUGCAGAUGAAAUGAGGAAAGUGGAGGAAAAUACAGAGGAAUACCCAAGUCUCGAAAUUGUAGACAUAAAAAAUAUGAAGAUAAAAUUAAAGACAGAAUUGAAACCAAAUAUUGCUCGGCUAGUGGAAGAAGAUAAUCCAGAUGAGUUAGAGGAGCUUCUACUGAGUGAAAGGAAUUUAGAAACAAUACCUUCAAGCAAAAAAGGGAAAAAGAACAAAAAAAAUGUUUCAAAAGAGACUGACGAGUUCUCCAAAUUAGCCAGAAGAAUAUUUCAUUAUGCUUGUGCACUUGAUUCUAUUAAAUGUUGUAAAAUUUUGUUAGAUUCAGAAAAGUUCACCCCUGUAAGUAUUGAUGCUGUAGAUGAAGUUGAGCAGCGCUCAGGUUUGCAUAUUGCAAGUUUUUGCCAUAACCAUAAAUCUGUAGAUCUUCUUUUGAAAAAGGGAGCUAAUUCUAUUCUUUUAAAUAGGCAUUCGAUGAUGCCUCUUGAAGAAGCUUUAUUGAGUCCUAACCUAGAUGUGGACUGGGACCUGUCUACAGAUGCAUCUGAAAUUGUUAAACAAAUUGGGGAGAAGGAUUUAAAAGUAUUGAAAACUCUUGUAAUAAAGUGUAGUAGCAAAGAGGCCUUUGUUGCUUUGGCAUUCAAAUUUGCUAAAAAUCUAACUUUAGUUCCAUUAGUUGCUCUAUUACAUGUCAGAAGGUCAAUCAUAAACACUGUGAUGAAAAGUUCAGAAUUUGACACAGAAUCUGGAGGGACAAUACUUGAUUACAUGUUAGAAAAGGUACUACUCUCCCCAUCUCCUAAUAGCCCAGAUGAAGGAUUCCAAAAUCUUGCAAAAUGUCAGACAACCAAUUUGGAGGAAGAGCAUGUGUCAGAAGUGCUGAACUCAAAAAGAACUUUAGGGGAUUGGGAUGACGAUAAUCCAGAAAUAAAGUUCAGGAAAGAUGCUACUGAAUGGGAGGAAAUUAAUUCAAAAUAUUGUUCAAAUUCAAGUGAAGGAGAUGCUAGUCGAAAAACUGGCAAUAUAGUGACAGAGUCUACUAAGGCAUCUGGUAAAUGCAAAGACAAUCAUGAUUUACAGAAGCAGAACUAUAGAGUUGCAAGAAAAAUAUUAGAAUGCAUUCUUCAGUUUGUCCAAAGCUGGAGUGCACAUGCAAAAAACUGUCUGCCACCAUUGAUUCGAGCUGUGCAGGUAAAUGAUCUUGAACUUAUCAAUAUUUUGCUGGCUUCUUCUGCCCCAGUCAAUGCUACAGAUAAUGAUGGAAACACGGCUCUUCAUUGGGCCUUGAAACAAGCUACUUCUUUCAAUAGGUGCAGUGUAAACUGUAGAGUUGUGGAAAGGCUUCUAGAAGCUGGUUCAUCUGUUACAUCUGGAAACAAUACUGGGGCAACUCCUGUACAUACAGCUGCAGGUCAUGGCCACCUGGAUGCCCUUUUUUUAAUUAUAAUGAAGCAUGAGGGAUGUAUAAAUGUACUGACAGGAACAAAAGAGACCCCUCUACAUUAUGCUGUGAAAAAUAAUCAUCUUCCAUGUGCAGCUCUCUUACUUAGAUAUGGGGCGAACCGAGAUGUAUUAAGUUUGAGGAGUCAUAAACCUAUUCAACUUGUGCGGUCUGCUGAGAUGCAUGAUUUGAUAAGUCUGAAUGGCCACCUUCUUGAAGAAGCAUGUGAUCAGAUUGUUGCUUCCCAAAAUUGCAUUCCCGCAGAGUUAAAGUAUUCACAUUUCCAGAAAACACAGGGAACAAAUUCUCUGUUUCCAGAUGGCCUAUCUCCUGUCAAGCAUCCAGAUUCCAUUUCUCAAUCAGCCACUUCUGCUGUAUCUAAUUCAUAUCUGUCUGUGGCAAGAGCGAUGCCACAAAAUCCUGCUGAAGUUCCAGAAAAAUUCCAGGCACAGCCUUCAACCCAGCUUUCUGCAUUUGACUCACAGGAGACUGACAUUGCCUCAAAUUCAACUUCUUGGCAAACAGUUCAGAAAAAGCCACGCAAGCAUACAAUCAGUGCAGAUGCAGUUGUAAAUACCAAAGAGCAGCCUCCUGCUAAAACAGUUACCUUGCCUCCCUUCAAGUCAGUUUUUUGUCGCUUUCAUGGGACCAACAAGAAGUGCGAGUGGGGAUUCAAUUGCCAUUUUGCUCACUCAGAAGAGGAACUUCUCAAGGGUCAGCAAAUGACACUUCUUAGUCAGAAGGUGGAAGCAGUUCAUGGAAUUCAAGUAAUUUCCAGUGCAUCUGAUUCUUUAAAGAAUUAUAAAAUCAAGCUGUGUAUGCAUUAUGAGAGAAAUGGAAAUUGCCCAAAUGGGUUGAAAUGCAAAUUCGCUCAUGGACAGAAAGAGCUUAGGCCUAUAUCAGCUUUGCCAAGUGUUUUAUCAGGUGCAAGAAUUGCAACUCGCCCUUCAACUGCAUCAUCAUUCGGAUCUUUUUCAAGUGAGGAAUUAGAUGACUUGAAUUCUCGAAAAGUCUUUGUUGGUGGUUUACCACCUUAUGUUAAUGAUAAGGAGCUCCUUGAAUUCAUGGAUGGAGAAUUUGGAAAAGUUGUGGAUUCUACUGUUAUUUGUGGCAAUGAUGAAGAUGGGGUCAUCAGAUCUAGAGGAUUUGGGUUUGUUUUGUUUGAAAAUCAGAAAGAUGCAGAUGAAGCGGUAAGGAGGCAUUACAUUCCAUUCCAAGGUAAAAAAGUAGAGCUUAAGAAAGCAAUGACUCGAAUGGAAUUGGCAUCUGGAGAUGAAUUAGGAAAGCAAUGUUUAUCCUCUUUGGGAAUUUCAUCAGCAGGCAAUACUCGGUCCCCUGCUAUAGCUUCAACUUCUUCUGAUACUAUCAUGCUUGAUGAGAAAUUGCAUUCAGGCACAGAUGCAGCAAGCUAUAACCAACAUUUGCCGGUGCCACAAUCAUCUUUAUCCAUGGAGUCACCCCAAGGAUUGAUUCAGGAUGAUCUUCCGUGCCAGCAGUCUUUUGCUUCUGAUUCUGCCAGGUUCCUUUCUGAAAACACCAAGAUAAUUCAGAAGAGUGGACAAAUUGAAAAGAUCCAAAACAGUGAAUCUGUUCGUCCUGUUCACAACAAUUCUACUGUGGAAGGUUCUGCAUCGUAUGAAAAAGUUUAUCCUUUACACCAUGGUGUUGAGCAAUUACAAAAGCUAGAUAAUACCUCCCGUCAUUCUUCAUUUCAUUCCUACAACCUGUGUUCUUCACAAUCUCUCAAUACAUUGCCUUCCUCGCCUUCAUCUCUGAAUACAAUGCCUUCCUCACCCCUGCCAGGCCUGUCAAGUAUUUAUGAUGCCCCAGUUACAAAUGGUAACAUAAAUCCAUUGAAUGGCCAACCCUUCACUUAUUUUAGCAGUGGUACAUCUAAUUCUUAUUUCAGCACCACGCCUGGAACUAAUCAUUCAACACAAAUCAAUGGUCGCAGUGAUGAGGAUCUCUCACUAUUACUUGAAUUGUUACAAGUCCGUCCCAUGCCAGAGUCAACACAGGCUGAAUCCUUGUGUAAAACACAAGUUUCUAACCGUGGCGUAAGCCAAUCUGUAAUGCCAGUAUCUUUUCAGGAUAGUUGGAAAAGCGACACUUUAGCUAAUUACCAAAAUUUGGAUCCCCAGUCUGUAUAUAGCGGAAGUUGGUAUGAUUCAAUAAAAAAUGGCAGAGACGUUGGGUGUCAAUUGUCAGGUGGCAUGAGGUAUUCUUCAAUACAAAAUUGUAUAGACAGUGAAUAUCAAUUUUCAGGUGGCUUGGGGUAUCCUUCCAUCCAAACUGGCACAAGCAAUGAGUCUCAAUUAUCAAAUGCAUUAAGAUAUCCUUAUUUGUCACAAAGUUCAACAGCACACAGUAAUGUAUCAAAUAGCUUCUGUUAUGAUAGUUCAUUUCCAGAAAGUUUUGAAUACAAUCAAAAUUACCAAAUUCCAGUUGCAUCACAAGGACAUGGAAUAAUAUCUUCGGGUAGAUAUGUUGCUUCAGAGUUAGCCAAAAAUAUCUCUAAUCCUUCUAAUGGCCACUUUCAAGAAUUUGAUAGGUCCAUUGUACCUUCCACUUAUGAUUGGAGCAGUUUACAGGAUUCAAGGUUUUUGAACUAAACUGGAGAGGCUACUGUGCCACAGGAGCUUGUGGAAAUAUUCCUUUAAGAAGGUUUUGGAUUCAAUGAAGAUUACCCACUUCCAAAUGGGUGCACACACAUAGGAUGUAUAUUCAGGGCUGCUCGGAAAUAUUUGUUAUUGUUUCUUGGAGACUGUUCUGGGUUUCAUCCUCCACAUGCACUGUUAAUUUAAUUUGAAAAUAUUUUGCACUUGUGAGUGCCUCUGAGUAGUUUUUGGGAGUAUCAAAUCAAUGUCUGAAUAUCAGGCUACACAAACGUUCAUUUACAAGUGAAGCUUUGCAAACUAUAGCAGAUUCUUUAGUCAAAGGCAUCCUUGAUGUAUACUGUAAUGAUAUAUUCUUCUUAGCAUCAUCUCUUUUAAUGAAAUGCAAUCUAAGCCAGGUUUACAAUGUACGUCAUGUUGCCAUUUCACUUGAUGUUGCUAUUAAUGCUUAAUUCUGACUAUUGUAGUAACAUUUCCGGUCCUUUAGCUACCUACCAAGAUGUUCCCAAAGGGACUAAGGUAUGGCUCCAGGACUGAUUGAAUGCCUUUUUGAAUUAGGAAAAAUGGCUAUCAUCGAAUCCACCUAGUGGGUAUUAUAAUCAUGAUAUCUUCAGUAGA
RNA transcript from Cryptomeria japonica (Japanese cedar), 5174 nucleotides. RefSeq lists it as uncharacterized. The record is from RefSeq and is a predicted model, not a curated record. The transcript is spliced from 4 exons. NCBI's taxonomy places the organism in Eukaryota, Viridiplantae, Streptophyta, Pinopsida, Cupressales, Cupressaceae.